GGCCCGGCUUCCGGGGCCUCUCGCGGCGACCGCGGUGGGGGGGACGAGGGGCACGAGGGGGGACGCGGGGACCGCAGCGCCUGCUCGAUGCGCGCCGAGGCGUGUGGACGCGCGGCCCUGGAGAGGGCACCCGGCAACUUGGUGCCGCCUCCCUUCCUGCCCGCAGCCCUGGGAGAACAAGUUUUUGUGGACAUCAGAUGCCACUUGCAAGCUACGAAUCUUUAGACAAGUCACCGACCCUCAUCUGUAAAAUGGGGACAACAUUCAUCUAACAGGAUGGAAUAAAAUAACACAAGCAAAGCAUUUAAAACUGCACGGCAACUUUCGCUAUAAACGGACUAUGGCUGAUUGAGUUCAGACUCUCCAUAGUGUCUGGCACACAAGACGUGCUUGGAGCUGUUACUGAAUGAAUGGGCCUUUCUAGAGCUGAAAGGGGAACGCACCUUACCUCGGCCCCACCCACAGACUCCACUGUCACCUCCCAGGCCCACUGCUCCCGGGCCUCUAACUCCACGCUUCUGCCCAACCAAGCACACUCAUCC
Molecule: long non-coding RNA, 542 nt
Organism: Equus caballus (horse)
Lineage: Eukaryota; Metazoa; Chordata; Mammalia; Perissodactyla; Equidae
Source: RefSeq, a predicted model, not a curated record